GUUUUCCUAUGUUAUUCUAUUAUGUAUUGGUAUCUGUUAUCCUUCUGUAUUUUUUAAUAUUUUAAAACACAAAAUGUAUUUUAAGUUAUGUAAGUUGUUAUAUAAGUUUGUAAGCUAUUAUCCUUUGUUUUAUGUGGUUUCAUAUAUUAUGUUUUCAAUUUCAUUUGCAAAAAUAUUUUUGCUUAAAAUAUUUAGAAUGACAUGAAACUUGGCUGGAUGUGGGAUGGCGAAGGGAGGUGCCAAAAUAAUUAUUCUGAAGGCAGGAUAAUAAUUUUUUUAAUUAAAUUUGUUUUAACCUAACAUUUGAAGCACCCCUAUCCUAUUAGUGUAGCAGACCACACUACUCGACAUUAUUUUCCACAAAUUUUAGAGAUAUGUUUUACAUUUAGAAACUACUUUAGUUAUUAUUAUAAGUAAAUGUUGAGACACCCAGCACAAAAAAAAACUGUUCUUCAACAGAUUUACAAAACGUUAUUGCGUUCUAAAAUGUACUUUCGUUGCACAUGCAGUCAUCUAUUUUUAUAUUUGUAACUAUUAUUGUUGUCUUCUAAUAAAAAAAAAAGAUGAACUUUGAUCUGACGCUGAAAUACGCUUCUAUUAAUUAAUUUUAAAAAACAUUUAGGUUCAUUUCCUGUUGAGGUAAUGCAGGCAAGCUUUGUUGUUCACAUCUCCUUUCCUGGCUUUCUCAAACAGUCAAGAUGGGAACUGGCUCUCUGCUUGAUCUAAAAAAAUGCAUCUAAAAGCCUCCAAAAUGUCCAUAUCAACACUCUCCAAUCUGCCAUCAUCAAUGAGAUCAACGCUCAUGGAUGGCCAGCAGUCUACUUUACAUCAGCAUGUCGAGCAGACUUCAUUUGACCAAGAGGUGGCAGUGUAGCUCUCAGGAUCCCUCCUCGUGUCACUG
Molecule: long non-coding RNA, 901 nt
Organism: Carassius carassius (crucian carp)
Lineage: Eukaryota; Metazoa; Chordata; Actinopteri; Cypriniformes; Cyprinidae
Exons: 3
Source: RefSeq, a predicted model, not a curated record